AUGGUGCUCUUUACGCUAUGGCAGGCCUGGUAUAUCCGCAACGAGGUUGUCCAUCAAAAUCCGCCACCACCCAUGGAAGCAUCUAAGCAUUUCCUUAUGAGCUACCUGGAUUCGAUCUUUGGCGUGAAGGUGGACUUAGCUUCCGAUCCGGUUAAAGGGAAGCAGAUUCUCACAUAUGACAAGUUCUCUCCUAAUGUACAGUCAAGAACAAUCCCAAGUAUUUUCUGUUUAUUUUUCCAGUCCACCAACUAUGUGAUUCUAAUGUUAAGUAUCCAUGGAGAGGAUAUGUUUUACUUGGAUUUUGGUAUUAACAUGGUACAGCUAAAUUUAGAGGUUCUAUGGUUUCUUAGACGUGUGUUACAUAACUAUGGGGGAGUAAUUUUAUUGUUAUUUCCUUUUCACAAUACUGUUAUGAAUCCAAAAGUUCGCAAAACCUAG
RNAcentral lists this ribosomal RNA (438 nucleotides) under Triticum aestivum (bread wheat). RNAcentral's name for it is "partial small subunit ribosomal RNA". The record is from RNAcentral. Lineage: Eukaryota; Viridiplantae; Streptophyta; Magnoliopsida; Poales; Poaceae.